ACUUAAAUAAUUUAAAAUUAAAAUAUCAGCUUGUGGGCCUGAUAAUGUAUAUUAUUACUUUAAGUU
This 66-nucleotide transfer RNA is filed under the name Orestes guangxiensis. RNAcentral describes it as "tRNA-His". Lineage: Eukaryota; Metazoa; Arthropoda; Insecta; Phasmatodea; Heteropterygidae. The record is from RNAcentral.